AGAGUUUGAUCCUGGCUCAGGAUGAACGCUAGCGGCAGGCUUAAUACAUGCAAGUCGAGGGGCAGCAUGGUGUAGCAAUACACUGAUGGCGACCGGCAAACGGGUGCGGAACACGUACGCAACUUACCCAAAACUGAGGAAUAGCCCGGGGAAACCCGGAUUAAUACCUCGUAAUAUAAUUGAAUGGCAUCAUUUGAUUAUUAUAGCUCCGGCGGUUUUGGAUGGGCGUGCGCCUGAUUAGGUAGUUGGCGGGGUAACGGCCCACCAAGCCUACGAUCAGUAACUGGUGUGAGAGCACGACCAGUCACACGGGCACUGAGACACGGGCCCGACUCCUACGGGAGGCAGCAGUAAGGAAUAUUGGUCAAUGGACGCAAGUCUGAACCAGCCAUGCCGCGUGAAGGAUGAAGGUCCUCUGGAUUGUAAACUUCUUUUAUAUGGGAAGAAAUCCAUCUUUUCUUGGGUGGUUGACGGUACCAUAGGAAUAAGCACCGGCUAACUCCGUGCCAGCAGCCGCGGUAAUAC
This 525-nucleotide ribosomal RNA is filed under the name uncultured bacterium. RNAcentral describes it as "bacterial SSU rRNA". It matches the Rfam family "Bacterial small subunit ribosomal RNA", at positions 8 to 526 of the family's 1533-position model. The record is from RNAcentral.